CACUUCAGCCCAGAAAGCUGAACUCAUUGCUUUCAUUCGGGCCUUAGAACUCAGUGAGGGUGAGACUGUCAACAUUUACACUGAUUCUUGGUAUGUCUUUUUAACCCUUCAAGUGCAUGGAGCGUGAUAGAAAGAAAAGGGCCUAUUGAACUCUGGGGGAAAAGACAGAAAAUAUCAACAAGAAAUCUUGCAAUUAUUAGAAGCAGUAUGGAAACCCCACAAGGUGGC
RNAcentral lists this long non-coding RNA (228 nucleotides) under Homo sapiens (human). RNAcentral's name for it is "LHRI_LNC546.1". Lineage: Eukaryota; Metazoa; Chordata; Mammalia; Primates; Hominidae. The record is from RNAcentral.